UCCGUCAGUAGCUCCCGAGCACGCCGGAGGCCUGGCCUGUGGAUGAGAUUGUUCCUUAUUUCCCCAGCUUCAGCACCACAGAAGAGACCAGAGUCUACCUUGCCAGCUCCUCUAGCACCGACCACGUGCCAAUUCAUGUCCUGAAUGCUCACUUCACUUCUUCACCUUGCUUCACUUCACUUACUGCACGGGAACAGAAAAGCCUAGAGAGGAUGGAUUACCUGUGCGGUUGCCUCCCUCUGCAGAGUGGGCGUGUCUCAGGAGCUUCUCUUCUUCUCCAGCCCAGUGCGGCCUCGUGUCAUCCAUAGGACCCACCGGCAGAGGGCAGGGCCUGCGAGUGGGGCCAGCCUCCUGGUGACUCUCGCCUCCUCUUUUCCAGCGGACGCUACCAGAGGACGAAGGUCUGACUCUGGCCAACGGCCCAGAAUUUCUGGCCCAGUUUUGCCUGAGGAAGCCAACUGUGCAGGAGGUCAGGAUCCCGGUAGGGUGAGAGUGGGAAAGUUAACAUUCCCAAGAGACUCCAAGCAACAGGAUUUCCUGACCUGGGACUAUUACCUUUCUCACAUUACAUGGCCAGAUUUACUUCCUGCUAUUAUUAAAAGUACGAAAAAGAUGAAGAUAUGUGUUUAAUGGAAACAAGGGCAAGAGUUUGCCUGACUGGACUUUGAGGAGGCUGUAGGAUCAUGGCGCUAACGGCAUUUGGAGGGCUGGGAAGGGACUCUAGCCCUGGCUUUACCUGCCUUUGUCAUCAGCUGGAGCAAGCAACUCCGCAACCUCGGAGCCUCAGUUUCCUUUUCUGUAAAAGGCGGGGAGGGUGGGUGGUAAGUGCAAUGCUGAAUCAGAACUCAUAGAGCUGCUGGGUGGACAUGUGAAGUAAAAGAGGAGACAGCUUUUGCUCCUGAAGGAUGCCAUUUGCGUUUUCCUCAUCAGUUUGAUCUCCUCCAAUCAUCCAGCACCUCCAUCUGACCUUCUCAGCUGAGAGGUCCUCAGUGUUUCUGUGGCCUCCAGGAGAAAGGUCCCCCUCCCCGGCUGAGGCCAGGCUGAUGGCAGGCUGCACGGCCAGCCUUCCACAGUCACCUGAAGGAUACAGAAAAGGAAGAGCUGGAGGCUUCUAGCAAGCUGCCGAACUGUGUCCUCCAGCUGCGCCCAGCCCCCUGGAGGUAGCGCCGGAGCACGUGGUGGUGGCUAUGUAGGAAGGCCCCUUUCGAGCCGCCCUAUACUGUCUUUGGGAUCUGCUUUUUACUGCCACAGCCUAUGUGCUCCUGAUUCUUCUCUCAAUCCCUGGAUGGAAACCGGCCUCUGAUACUUGGCUCUGCUUCCUUGGAGGAGCUACUUAACCAUUCAGUCCUCUCUGCAGUUAGCUAUUAAGGUUGUCCUGCGAACUGAAGCAGAGAGUCCCCGCAAAGGGUGCAGAGUAGGGCACCCACAGAGGAGCCUCUAAAGCACUUUCCAUGAGGUGGAUGGCUUCUCCUCCCCAAGGGACCCAGGAAGGAAAGGAGAGCUGCUUCUGCCUCCCCAGCAGAGAGGGACCUUCCCAGAGAAGAUGUCUUGCGCCUCACCUGAUCUUGUUCUGAGAGUAGGAGACUGGAAGAGAAGCGUUCAACUCCCCAAACACAGCUGGGUUUGUUUCGUUUAAUCUCCCAGCCUGUUUUUCUGCUGUCCUCCUGAAGAAUGUUUAAUCUCACAGUUAAAACCACCAAAAGCGACUUUUUUCCCCCUCAACUGCUCAGUAACACAUGACCGUGCAAAUUCGUUUGGCCCCAGCGCCACAAGUCAUAAAAGGCAUCUAGUGGGCGGCAUGAGUCAAUCAGGCCUUUGGACGGUGACGUAACCACAGCUUGUCAGUUUCCCCAUCCAGGCAGCCCCAAUCCCCCAGUGCAGACAUCUGGAGCCAGGGAUUGACAAGUGGAUUCCAGGAUUGGGCCCUGCCUCCCGCCCUGUUCAGUUCCAGCCCAGCCACGGCCGCCGCCAACGAGGACACGCACUGUCUUUCUGCACAUUCCCACGUACACACACCCCCGCAGCCCCCUCUCCACUCAUUCCUGCAUUUCCGGCAAUGUGAAUUCUGACAGCUCGGGCAGUGUCAGCCUCUCCGGUGCAUUCCUCACCACACCACCUCACUGCUCCCGAGCCUGCUGACAGCACUCCCCGCCAUACCUACCAAGCCGAAGGUGCAAGGAACCUCUUGAUCCCCACUGUGUCUUUGUCCCAGGGCCACAGCAAAAUAGCACCCCCCUCCCCCACACACCCUCUAGCCUAAUUUAUUAGACUUUUAAACACAUUUAUUUACUGUGAUAUCUACACCACACCAAACAUCUGGAGGGAAACCGGGAGACAAUCCACCAGGAAUUUAAAUGUUUGUUCUGCAAUGUAACUUUGAAAACCGAACCAGGAAAACUUGACAUCUUUAGCCAAUUGCUUGGUGUGAAAUCCAAUGGGAUAUUGGGGCCUGCAAAGGAGAAGAGGAGAUCCGCACAAACCCGUUCCUGGCUGCUGCAUUCACCUCCAGCGUUUGUGAUGCCCCAGAGCACAGAACUCCAGGGAGCCCACGAUGCAGGAGAGUUCAGCGACAUUCACUGAGUACAAGAGAAGACUGUUGGGAGGCACCAAUGGACUUUGCAACUGGAGAUCUCCCAACUGGACCAUGUCACUGUUAUGUUUAAUUUGCACUGUGCACAGUAGGUACCCAGUCAACGUUUGUCGAAUUCCAUGGACUGGGCCUUAUACCUCCGAGGAUUUUUCACAGCAGUAGCAUGUGCACAUGCACAGAACGAGAACACAACCAAUGCUUGUUUGCUGGUGAAGACCUGGUCUCAGUAUUUUGCCCAGGAAACCCUUUCUUCAUGGACAGCAUGAGGCAAGCUAUGGCCCUUGCUGUGGUCUCAGUGGUUCAGCACGGAAGAUGAAGAUGACGGGCAGUCUCAGAAUAUUAGCUUUAGAAGGGACUUUGGAUCCUUUUGAUUUUGGUAGGUGAAAUACUUUUUAAAAAUAAAGAAAACGGACUUUGGACAAAUGCUCUCAUUUUGUAAAUGAAAAAGUAGAGACAGGAAGAGUAACUGAUUUGUCCAAAAUCAAACAAAGUAAAUUGUGUUGCAUCCUCUCCAUCCGUAACCACCUUCGCCUUCCCUAACUGCUCCAUGUGGCCUGGGAAAGUCCACUUCACCUCGUCUUAGAGGUGGGCUUCUGAUUCUAGCUAAGCCAACCCCCA
This 3208-nucleotide long non-coding RNA is filed under the name Homo sapiens (human). RNAcentral's name for it is "HSALNT0038873". Lineage: Eukaryota; Metazoa; Chordata; Mammalia; Primates; Hominidae. The record is from RNAcentral.